This 915-nucleotide ribosomal RNA is filed under the name Triticum aestivum (bread wheat). Its description in RNAcentral is "partial small subunit ribosomal RNA". The record is from RNAcentral. Lineage: Eukaryota; Viridiplantae; Streptophyta; Magnoliopsida; Poales; Poaceae.
AUGUCGGGGCAGAUGUUCACCCUCGUGGCCGCCGCCGACGUCCGGUACGGCGUGAGCAUGCGGCGUGAGUUUGGAAGUCAUUUGGAAAACAUAGCCCCCGAGACCGAGUUUGUCAAAAUCAUAGCUCGUGGUGGCCUCGUGUUUGAUUUUGAAGUUAUUAGGGACGACUACGAGCCAUUUCUUUCGUCCAACGGAUGGGAGGAGUUUGUGGAUGCAACUAACAUACAAGAAGGUGACUCCGUUCUGUUUGUGUACCGUGGGAACUUCUGCUUUAAGGCUCACAUAUUCAAUCCAAGCGGUCACGAGAAAUCUUUUUUCUUUUGUCAACGACCUACUGAGAUAUUUGGAGAUGUUCCUUCGAGCACUCUUUCUGAUCAACGUGUGAUGAAUGGACACGAAGCUCACAAGGCGAAUGACCAGCCAUCUAUGAAUCUUGAAGACGGUUCACCACCUCUGUCCAAUCAUGUUGGGGGGCCUUCCCAGCAUACCUAUAUUUUGGCCCGGGGGCCGACUCUAUCUACGCAAAUGAAGAAAAGAGUUGAGGAGAAAGUACAAGCAAUUGGAUCUGAAAUUCCUAUCUAUGUCAAAAAGAUGACCCAAAUCUCUAUUAUUGGCAGCAAGGGCAAGGGUAGAGGAUGCCGAAUAUAUCCUGUGACCUUCUGCCGCGAAUUUGCUUCAGCAUGGCUCCCCUACUGGAAAACAAAAAUUUACCUUCAGGUAGAGGGCAAAACGGAGCCAUGGUGUACCAAGUUCGAUGUUCGACGUGGUGACAGAAUGGGUUGGAUUUACAACGGGUGGGAGGAAUUUGUUUGGGAGAAUGGCCUGAAGGUAGGGGAUGUGUGUCUCUUUGAAGCAAAAAAGAAGUAUGGCCAGAUGUUGAUUGUCCAUCUGAUUCGGUCGGAAAUAGAGGUGUAG